AAGCGCCAGAGAUGACACUAUGUGUAAAGACGAUCAUAAUUCGAUAUGGUCAAAAUGCGUCGAUUAUCGUUUCAUUUAUCUGGUAAUGAUGUUUUCACUUCAUCAAAAUUUUAAACAUUAACAACUAGGCGAAUAACAAUAGUUGAAAUGUAAAUCAGAAUAAAAUCAAUUCAUUUGAAGAAAAUAAAUUCCAUUAUACUUUAUUUUGACCAUAUGAUCAACACUUGUACAUAGUGUCAUUUACUUUGUGUUCUUCACUCUCGCGUUGUGUUUUGAUCGUUCGAAACUCAUUGCCAGAACGAAUGCAAAUUUCAUUUGGGAAGGAUCGGUGCCGGAAGAUGCAGUGAAAAUUAUAAAAUGUUUAUAGAAAAGUGGUUAAGUAAAUCGUGAAAGAUGUCAACGCAUGCGUAAAUGCAGUUUGUUUUGUCACUUGAUCUACGGCAAUUUCAUUACCAAAGCACCUGAUAACCGAUCAAAGAAGGUGAAUCGGGCAUACAGAGUCGCCGUUUAACUUCAAAUAUCUUCGUGAUCGGAAAACGCAUCAAACAGCAAGUGUUUUUCUUCCAUCAGCACGCGCCAUCGGUGGAGCAAGCAGCUAACGUUUCGUUCGUCUAGCACGCACCAUCAAGAAUUGAAAUAUUCCCGAAUAGCUCUGUGAAUAAAAAACUGCACACUUACUGUCCGAA
Long non-coding RNA from Anopheles arabiensis, 686 nucleotides. RefSeq lists it as uncharacterized. The record is from RefSeq and is a predicted model, not a curated record. Lineage: Eukaryota; Metazoa; Arthropoda; Insecta; Diptera; Culicidae. The transcript is spliced from 3 exons.